Molecule: ribosomal RNA, 492 nt
Filed under: uncultured bacterium
Lineage: Bacteria
Description: partial 16S ribosomal RNA
Rfam family: Bacterial small subunit ribosomal RNA
Source: RNAcentral
AGUGAACGCUGGCGGUAGGCCUAACACAUGCAAGUCGAACGGCAGCACAGUAAGAGCUUGCUCUUACGGGUGGCGAGUGGCGGACGGGUGAGGAAUACAUCGGAAUCUACUUUUUCGUGGGGGAUAACGUAGGGAAACUUACGCUAAUACCGCAUACGACCUACGGGUGAAAGCAGGGGAGCUUCGGACCUUGCGCGAUUGAAUGAGCCGAUGUCGGAUUGGCUUGUUGGCGGGGUAAAGGCCCACCAAGGCGACGAUCCGUAGCUGGUCUGAGAGGAUGAUCAGCCAGACUUGAACUUAGACACGGUCCAAACUCCUACGGGAGGCAGCAAUUGGGAAAAUUUGACCAUUGGCGCAAGCCUCGUCCAGUCGUGCCGCGUUGGUGCAGAAAGCCUUUCGGUUGUAAAGCCCUUUUGUUGGGAAAGAAAAGCAGCAGGUUAAUACCCCGCUGUUCUGACGGUACCCAAAGAAUAAGCACCGGCUAACUUCGUG